Molecule: non-coding RNA, 30 nt
Filed under: Rattus norvegicus (Norway rat)
Lineage: Eukaryota; Metazoa; Chordata; Mammalia; Rodentia; Muridae
Source: RNAcentral
UCCACCUGCUGUCUCUAGCCCCAGUCCCAA